GGAUGGCACCUCCCAGCGGGAGUGGCAUCCGCGAAGGAAAGAUGGAAGCUGGGCAGCCAAGGCGCAGGGAGAAAGCCCAGGACCGCGGAAUCGCUCUGUGGAAGGGCAGGCGAUUCCACAGGGCGGAUUCCUGCCGGGACUGCAGGAGGAUCUGCGCGCAGGCGUGAGCGGAGUGGACACGCACCCGCGACCCGGCCGCGCGAGCCCGUCUGGGGACCAGGGAGACCGAGAAAGGUCCAGGAGUGGAAUUUCUGAGGCAAAUGGCAACCUGAAGAAAUGCCACACUGUCUUCCAAAGUCGAUGCUGAAGCCAGGAGACCACCCAGCCUGACAAAGAAAGGAAUUCUUGUCUGCAGUUGACAGCCCUCAGGUUGACGGCUUUCCAUUUGCCCCGGAGGCUGUCACUCGCAGAACAAUGGCAGCGAGCAGGGUGGCUCUCACCUGAGACUGGCGCUGCCGCCAGAGGAGGGGGCAGCCGGGAUGGGGGUGUUGUCUCUCUUCCCAAGAUGCAAAGGUUGUAAGAUCACUGCCGCCUGCAGCAGGCCUGCUCAGGGAGGCUGCGGAGGAUUAUUUUCUGCGUGGCUGGCGUCUCACUCUGCAGACAGAAAGCAGUAAACAGCAGAAGGUUACUUCUCAUUAAAAAAAAUAAUAAAUUAUAACAAAUGACUGUAACAGAAACAUGAAUAUAUCUCAAAAACAUCAUGUUAAGCAAAGAAGUCCGAUGUAAAAAAGAAUGCAUGCUGUAUGAUUUCCAUUUCUAUGAAGUUCUAGAGCAGGCAAAAUGAAGUUAUGGUGAUCGAAAUUAGGUUAAUGGUUGCUUUCUUAGGAGAGCAGAAGGUUGACCAUAAAGGGAUGCCAAGGAACUUUCUAGGGCAUGGAAACAUUCUAUGCCCUGAUUGAGCGAAAACAUGAAUGGACAUACUUUUGUAAAAUAGUAAACUAUGUGCUUAAAAUCAGUGCAUUUUGCUGUAUGAAAACUACAGUGUUACAAUAGCCUUGAUUAACAAAGCUGAAUUGCAAAAUAAAUUAAAAGAUCUUUUCUCAUUCUCAAAAGAAACACAUGUUGACACUAAAAGACUGAGAAAAUACAUUUUUAAAGAAAAUUUAAAAAUCAUCCAUAAUUCUAUUACUCAGAGGUAAACAUGGUUAUCAAUUUUAUAUUGAUAGUGCCAGUUAUUUAUUUUUACACACACAUACACUCACAAACGAGAGCAGUUACAUUAGAUGUGCAGUUAAAACUUCAGAAGAGGUAAAAGAACAUCAAAAAUCUGUCUUUCCCAUCCCACUCUCCAGGAUCAGUCACCACCACCAGUUACUUUUAUGUUUUUCUAAAAAUACAUGUGUAUGAUGUUCCUUAAGUGGAAAACAGCGUUCUACACACACAGCUUACAUUUAUACUAACCUGCAUUUUUAACACAAUAUGACCACAUGAAUCUUUCUAUGCUAUUAAAAUCUUUGUACAUUGUCAUUUUACACAGACUUUGGACUAAAGUAGAACACAGAAACAGAAAUGCACAAAAUCAUAACAGUGGAGUUCAAAGCACUUUCACAAAUUGACUCUCCUAUCUGGUACCAAUAUAAAAAUAAGAGAACAUUUCCAGAAUCCCCCCAAAUCUUUUGGGUCCUCUUCUACUUACUGCAUCCCCUCCCCUCAAAAGUAAUACAAUUCUGACUUCUAGUUUCUAGUUGGUUUCACAUGGUGUUUGAAAUUUAUAUGGUCUACUUAUACAUUUUUUUAUGCCUAUAUUCUUGCAUUUGACAACAUAGGAGUAAGAUUUGUUCAUGUUGCAUAUAGCAAUAAUUAAUUCACUCAUUGCCAUAUAUAGUAUUUCUUUAAAUAAAUAUUUCACAUUAUUUAUCAA
Molecule: long non-coding RNA, 1861 nt
Organism: Marmota monax (woodchuck)
Lineage: Eukaryota; Metazoa; Chordata; Mammalia; Rodentia; Sciuridae
Exons: 3
Source: RefSeq, a predicted model, not a curated record